UGGCAAAAAACUUUACUGCAUAUGUACAC
This 29-nucleotide non-coding RNA is filed under the name Mus musculus (house mouse). The record is from RNAcentral. Lineage: Eukaryota; Metazoa; Chordata; Mammalia; Rodentia; Muridae.